AUGAAAGUCUUCACUUAUAGGAAUCCUUUUUUUUUUUUUUUUUAUCUGUUUAACCACAAGCUGGAGAGACAAACAUCCGUUUGUGGCCCAGGCAGUUUAUCUGGGCCCUCCAUCUUGACUGUUCCAGACUUCAGAGGCCGUCAGUCUAAAGCGCGUUCAUCAUCCACCAUCCAUCCCAAGAUUCCUCUCGACUGUGCCAUUACUGGAGUCUUGAUUCAAGCAAACGGUUCUUACUGUGGAUGUAGGUCACCAACACAUGACCAGGGUGGCCUGAGUCCUCCACCAGAAACAAAUCAUAAGAGGAAAAGAACAAAUACAAAGGCUCAAACACUGCUCUGGCCAGCUGGGCAGGAGACAUAUGAGGAAAAAGGACACAGAUCCUUCUGGACAGGGAAGUCUGAUCCGUUGAUGCCUGGAUCCAAUCAAAGCCAGAGCUCCAUGGAGCCGGGUGACUCACGCACACACCACAGCGACUCAGUGACAAGAGUUGGCACUUACCUGCAGGGUGGCAGAUUGCUACGCUGUCCCUGCUUCUUACACAUCCAUCCCUGACAAACUUAAAUAAAAACUAAACAGAACUCGCCCA
Molecule: long non-coding RNA, 586 nt
Filed under: Felis catus (domestic cat)
Lineage: Eukaryota; Metazoa; Chordata; Mammalia; Carnivora; Felidae
Description: lncRNA (ENSFCAG00000045294.2)
Source: RNAcentral